GCGAAUGGCAUGCCGGGAGCGGUGGUAAUACGGAGGGAGCUAGCGUUGUUGGGAAUUACUGGGCGUAAAGCGUACGUAGGCGGCGACUCAAGUCAGAGGUGAAAGCCCGGGGUUCAACGCCGGAACUGCCUUUGAAACUAGGUAGCUAGCAUCUUGGAGAGGUCAGUGGAAUUCCGAGUGUAGAGGUGAAAGUCGUAGAGAUUCGGAAGAACACCAGUGGCGAAGGCGACUGACUGGACAAGUAUUGACGCUGAGGUGCGAAAGCGUGGGGAGCAAACAGGAUUAGAUACCCUUGUAGUC
Molecule: ribosomal RNA, 300 nt
Filed under: uncultured Bacillus sp.
Lineage: Bacteria; Bacillati; Bacillota; Bacilli; Caryophanales; Bacillaceae
Description: bacterial SSU rRNA
Rfam family: Bacterial small subunit ribosomal RNA
Source: RNAcentral